Molecule: long non-coding RNA, 4521 nt
Organism: Tympanuchus pallidicinctus (lesser prairie-chicken)
Lineage: Eukaryota; Metazoa; Chordata; Aves; Galliformes; Phasianidae
Exons: 3
Source: RefSeq, a predicted model, not a curated record
CUAAUGAUAAGCAGAUUUCUUUUCUUUGUGUCCCUAGUUGUUGUCUUUAAGCAUAAUCUUAUUUGCUGUAGGUUAGAGCUGCACAACCCUAUACUUAUUGUUGCAUUUUCCAUUGCAUUACAGCACAGCAAUGCUUUUCAGUCUAAGAUCUGAAGAGAAGGCUUUCCUUCAUAAUCUCACACCAACAGAUGUAUGUGAAGAUGUUAAAAAGCAGUAGAUGUUCAAAUCACUGAUAUCAAAAUAUUUGAAUAUGUGGACUUCUGUCCUACUACUCUGCUUAUAUCAAAAUUAAAUUCUUUAAUGAUAUGGAAGACGUGUCUUUUGUCUGACUCCUGGCUGAAUGAAGAAGCUUGAAGGAAACAGGGGAGCAACAACAAGGGGAACUACUCAGUUUAUUCCAGUUCAGCACUGAAACGUGUGUUCUAAACUAGGAUCUUGUGGUCCUGAAACACAGCAGCUGCUCUCUUCUGUUUUUGAGAAUCCAGUACAGUCUGUUGAUACUAGUGCUUGAAUGGAGACUUGUCAACAAGACACGUGGCUCAAGUGACAUAAAUGAUCAUUGAGGGACAUCAAAAUGCAGAGAAGUAUGUUUUAGACUCAUGCAAUUGCUUGUAUCUUUUACACUUUGCUCUUAAGUGAUCAAUUUAGACAAUCCUCAGUACGACUGCUGUGAUCAUAUAGCCAACCUGAGAUGAGAUAAAACAAGCGUCAGUGAUUUUGUCAUGAUUACACGAUCUUUUAAGCUGUAGUCAUAUCUACCGAAUUGCUGUGUGAUAGAAAAACCUGUUCUCCUGGAUCCAAGACUUUCCUUCUAAAGAUCACUCACUUUUACUGGAAGAUUUUCAUGCAUCUCUGACUGAAUGCAUCUUUUUUGAAGUGGUUUCUUCUCUAUCAUGGAUUUUUUUCUGUAGCAUUGUUAUUAUGAUCUUCCACAGAGAUAACAUUUUUAAUUGCCUGUUCUGUUUUAGCUACAUAGCCUGUUCCUCAAUUCUAUUACAGAAUGGUCUGCAGAGUCACCAGGGUAUAAGAAUCUGAUUAGAAAACUUGGUGUGCUGUCUUUUUAGAAAGUAUCUUUGUGUUUUUCACAGCAGAGGAGAAUGAACUAUAUAGUGAAGUUGUAAUACACAUAACUAAUUUGAAAUUUCAAUGACUGCUUACUUAUUCAAACAGUUAUCCCUUGAGAGAAGAAUUGAGCAAACUGUCCUUACAUUCCUCCAAUAUCUCUUGCCAAGACAUUUUACAAGCAGAUGCAACCCAAGGGUUGUAGAACUAAAAGCUAUUUAAACCCAAGUAAAAAAGUUUUCAGCAGGACUGGCAACUCUGAAGGAUGGGGAGAAAGAUGAGAUUUUCUGAAACUGCAAUGUAAGUUACACAGAACAGGCAAGGAAGCUGGGGAAUACAAUAAGGUUUCCACAUCUUUCUUAUAACUCCUUACAGCAUUUUUUUUAACCAUAAAAGAUAAGUACUUUGUUCUUUAUAUCAUUGAGGAGACUGCAAUAGAGAAACCACAAUAGCUUGUAGGCCUUUCAAGGGCAGUAAUUAUCUGUCACCUUGCUCUUGGUAAUGUUCUUUUGAGGAUAUUCUUGCAGGGAAACCAUUAAAUUCUGGAGUUAGACAACCAAGACUUCUUCAGUAGACUUAAAGAGAUAGCAUGAGGAAAGCAUUUCUCAUUGUCUUUUACACAAGUGAAGAUUCUGAUCUGCCCAGGGUGCAUAAUGGACUCUGAUAUUUACUAGUAUUUUUUAUUUUACAAGAAAGUGAGGAGUGUUCAGAAAAUCCAGGCUAUUUAAAUUACUGAUGGAGAAUUAAGGUGAGGCACUUCCACUGAUUACUGCAAGAUAGUUGCCCUCUUGACCUAAUUUAAUACAACAGACCUACUGAGAUGUGCAACAGGGUAUCUGGGAGAACAAUAUUCAGCAAACUGGGACAGAACUGUGUCUAAGAACCUCUUCUUCUCAGUGUUUAAAUCUGUCAGAUGAUGAGCAAGUUAUCAAAAUUUGUAUUCCCCCAGAGAAGAUCCUUCCACCCUCUUCAUUCCUCCUAGUUACACACCAUCUACCAUUUUUGCUCCCCUCUUCGUUAGAGCAGUAUUUUGAAUCAUCUUCUUCUUCCACAGUUCCACUUGUUCCUUCCCAUACUUUCCAUAUUCCUCAGCACUGAAAUACCUUCUGUCUGUGAAGCUAGGAAUCUUCCUAGCUUAAAUCUAGCUUUAAAUCUUCCUUAUGAUCUUUUUCUUUCCAAAGACUUGAUAUUGCUUAUGCUAAGCUCACGUAUUUUUGUUGACUGACAAAUAUAAGGAGACACAAAUUGGAGCAACUCAAUCCUUCCCUCUGAGAAAUAAUGUCCAUUGUCAUAGAUGGUGACUUCCUAUGCUAAUUUCUGAGACAAAAAGUAAGAUUUACAGUUCUGUAUAUUAAUCUCAUAUCUUAAAAUAUCUUAAGAUCAAAUUUUAAGAAAAUUAUCACUGACUUGCCAAGAAAACCCCAAAUCUACUGGAAUACUGUACUGUUGGAAAAAGUAGGAGAAAAAUGGCCUUUGCAUUACAAUAGUUUUAACUGAUGGCAUAUUAACCUUUGUUACUGUAUGUGUAAGCUUUUGGCUGAGUGAAUCACUGACUGAAUAAUAACGUGUUUAAUAAUCUUUUGUCAAGUAUAGUAUCUCAUCUGGAUGGUUAUCAUAAUAAAGACAGUAAUUGUUUUUUCAAAGUAGCCAUUAGAGAAUUCUGUAACUGCUACCAUUCUAAUUGGAGCAUUCAAGAUUAAUUUCAGGAAUAGCAUUCCCUAAGAGUUCAGUCACAGGGGAGACUCAUUUAGAAAGAAGUAAAUUGUUGUCCAUAUUUAUAAAGGCUGGUCCCCAUUAGAUGAGAUACUGGGUACACUUAAUAAAGUUAACUGCUAUGCUGAAUUGAGACAAAUAAACUAAUGAACUCACUUUUCCAAGGUUAUUGAUCCACCUGGGAACUGAAGAAUGAUUUCCUUAGCGUUCCGUAAUGUCCAGUUCACUAAAAUCUGCUGUGUUUCAGAUAUGUAUCAUUAGAGGAAAAUAAUUCCUUGUAUUCUGAGAGUGUAGUUAUUGAUGGUAUACUUCUGGGAAAGAUCCAGGUGUGAGAGUAGGUGACAGGCAACUUUUCCAGACGUGCUUGGUAUAGGCAGAUCAAAAACCUGCUUAAUACAUUAAGACCGAAUUGCACAGGCAGUUUCCUCAUUUUUCUCAUACAGCUCAAGUUCCAGUGCAGGCAAAAAGAAAUCUGCCUCCUUUAGAAAACAAAGCAAGCCCUGGAUUCAUCAGCUGUGGACAACUGUGAGAUUACAGGGAAAGAAACAAAUGGCAUCAUUCAUUCAUUGUGAAUGCUUGGGACAGAAUAGCAGAAAUGGCAGGACAUGACUGUUGCAAACUGCAGUAAUUUCUGUGCUAACUUUUAAAAUCUACAUUUACCAGAACUAUAAAAUCACUAAGAGACACCAGAUGGUGCUAUUGUAAAUGGUCUUACUACUUUUGAUGGCCUGCUGAUAUUGCAGUUUACUUCUGGAGAAAUGCUUAUGGUCAGCUGUGAUGCUUCAGUUUUGAAAGAACUGUAUACUGAAUAUACUCCCAAUGGAAGUCUGCUUUGGACUAAUAGAAUAGAACUAAUCAAUUUUUGAGUGGAACAGUGGUUUCUGAGCCCAAAAGAAAUUCCCGACUUCAAAUUCCAAUGAGUAUAAGGGAAGGUGAGAUCCAUUCCUGGAUGGAUCUCAAGCUUACUUGAAAGCUAAAUUUCUGUUCAGCCAGAAACCUACCACCUGGUAUAGUACGAUUUGGGAUAGUCUAACAUGUCCAGAAACAGAAGUUCCAAAAACUGUAAAAUCCGUUGCUGUCUGUGUAGAUCAAUCUGAAAGUAAUGCCUCAUUUACUUCCAUGGAAACCACAACAAAUGCCAAGAGCACAAUAACACUAAUUAAUAGAGCAAAUUCUCAGCUAAAAAAUACUAUUUUUUGGCAUAGUCACCACCAUUAGCUGUGCAUUUUGCCAGCACUGAUCAAGAGCCUGCAUACUGCGCUCAUUAAGAAAAAACCAACUGCAUGACCCUCUUAAAUAUGGCUUUACAUCAUGGUCACCACUGCUGAAAUACUGAACUCACUGUGCUCACAUCCACUGUUUGGUUUUCAUGAACAUUCUGUGUCAGUGGAUGUCAAUGGGUGCCAUUUUCUCUGCACUGAAGAAUUCAGUUCCACACAUUUGCUUCAUACAUGCUUCUGUUGUCGGACACCACUGUGUCAGACUGCCACUCUGCUGCCAUCUGUUGCACAGAAACCAAGUGUAAUGGGAUAUUGGUGGGAAGGUUCAGCCUCUACUGCCAUGCCACCAAUAUCUACCUCUGACGUUGUGGCCCAACAUAUAGGAGACACUACUUUGGGAGCAGUGCUUGUACCAGUUGAGCAAGUAGCUUGAAUUCUUCUUUUAGGACUGUGGUGAAAUUGUUUAAGCCAUCAUUUUAAAGCAAACAUGCAAAGCAGUUGAUUAACUUGUAACUGCACUUAUUAU